AAGUCGUAACAAGGUUUCCGUAGGUGAACCUGCGGAAGGAUCAUUAACGAAUAACUAUAGCGUUGGUUGUAGCUGGCUCCUCGGAGCAAUGUGCACGCCCGCCAUUUUUAUCUUUCCACCUGUGCACCGACUGUAGGUCUGGAUACCUCUCGCCUCCGGGCGGAUGCGAGGGUUGCUCGUAAGGGCUUCCCUUGAACUUCCAGGCUCUACGUCUUUUUACACACCCCAAUAGUAUGAUGCAGAAUGUAGUCAAUGGGCUUCUCAGCCUAUAAAACACUAUACAACUUUCAGCAACGGAUCUCUUGGCUCUC
Molecule: unclassified non-coding RNA, 311 nt
Filed under: Coprinellus xanthothrix
Lineage: Eukaryota; Fungi; Basidiomycota; Agaricomycetes; Agaricales; Psathyrellaceae
Description: partial internal transcribed spacer region
Rfam family: Eukaryotic small subunit ribosomal RNA (bases 1-46)
Source: RNAcentral